GUUACCCAGGGCGCAGGGUUUGGGGGCAGGUGCAGACUGGGGCCCAAGUGCGCACAGAGGCGUCUGCUGCUUCAUCUGAAGCACCGCGGAGUGCCAGGGCUUCGCUGUCCCUUGCGUACCUCAGUUUCCCUCUCUAUAACAAAACAGGUUUGGAACCCAGAGCUAAGUGCCCCUCACCACAAAACCUAUCUCAUGGUGGCUGUCGUUUUUGUUCGUGGACUGUAAAUGGAGGACACUGUACCGGCUUGAGAUGGCGCCUAGAGAUGCCCAGAGGGAGUGAUGACAUCAUUUGGAGGCGUCAAUACUCCCAAGGGCAAGACUACAUUUCCCAGAGUCCCUUGCAGCUAGGAAGCCUACCGCCAGUAGGGCCCUUGAGGUGGCUGCGAAACUGGAAGCCCUAAGCUAAAGAAGAAGCAGGAAGACAGAAGGUUCUGUUACUGAAGACUGUGUGGGAAUUCUAUUCAACAAUGUACUUCUUAGAAUUUUUUAAAAUGUGUGGGAGAAAUAAUUCUAUGUCCUUAUAAUCUACUUCUAAAGUAUCAAGUCUCUUUUAUCU
Molecule: long non-coding RNA, 556 nt
Organism: Myodes glareolus (Bank vole)
Lineage: Eukaryota; Metazoa; Chordata; Mammalia; Rodentia; Cricetidae
Source: RefSeq, a predicted model, not a curated record